GGGGAAGAUCUGUUAACCCGCUUGCAGGAGAAAUGCUGGGACCAGCAGAUGUGCGCAGCUGGGAGGGAAGCCCCCUCCCUGACCACAGCCCCCAGCAGUGCCCGCCGGGAGCAGGGAGAGAGGGGCGCAGGGCUCCGGAGUGUGGCCUGAUGGCUGUGUGCAAAGACCUUCUCCAGGGCCUGCCAGGCCCCAGGACAGGCCCUGCCCUUGUGGACUCACAGGGAAUUAGAAGAAAUUCAUUCAAAGAAUUAAAAAAAAAUUUUUAAUGAGUCGGCUGCCGGCUAACUGCCCCGAG
RNAcentral lists this long non-coding RNA (295 nucleotides) under Equus caballus (horse). RNAcentral's name for it is "lncRNA (ENSECAG00000052216.1)". The record is from RNAcentral. Lineage: Eukaryota; Metazoa; Chordata; Mammalia; Perissodactyla; Equidae.